Long non-coding RNA from Cyprinus carpio carpio, 1549 nucleotides. Lineage: Eukaryota; Metazoa; Chordata; Actinopteri; Cypriniformes; Cyprinidae. The record is from Ensembl.
GCUGUGGAUACUGCUACGCAUCGGAAGCAUGUUCUUCUGCUCUCACCCUCUUUGAGAUGCACAGUGCAUUCAACUUAUUAGACUAGUUUUAUACCAGUGAUUACUCAAAAAAUCUCUGGGAAAGAAUACAAGCUUUUAUUAAAAAUUUUAUUCAAAUUAGAACGUUCCAUGCUUAAAUCAGCAAAUAAGUUCAUAAUGAAUAAUUAAAACAAGCUUUUUAGUUUAAUAUGCUGUACAACGUCAGUGACUAAUAAAGACUGCAUUUGUUUUUGUUUUUUUACAAUGAUGGUGACAGCCUUAAUAAUCUUAUUAUUUAAAAGAAAACUAUUUGUUUUCAAAAAACACUUGAGGUUUAAACUACAAAAAAAAUAAACUGAUAAAAAUAUAUGGUAAUGUAGAAAAAACAAACAAACCCAAAACAAUCCCUGUGAUACAAAGGAUGAUUGUUCACCUUCAGCUAGGGAAGUACUGACUUAAAUUCAGCAAGUUUAAUGUUACCCGUGUCAUGUAAAGUGAGGUUCAAUAUACAAACAAGAUAAGAAUCACACUUUACCCAGAGUACAGUGGUCAAACAUGAGACUUUGAUUCAUGAAGCUGUAACGCAGUUGUGUUCAAAUCCCAACGAAGCAUUGAAUGUCUUUUAAUCAGCCUAAACAUGCAUUAAAAUAAAAUUAAAAUCUAAACAACCCAAACCAUAACAGCACAGCUUCUGUGGCUCAGGGGUUAAAGACUUCAGUCUGAAACAUGAAAGGCCUGGUUUGAAUCCUACAUCAAUUAAAAUUAUCCAUCAUUUAAAAAAAAAUCUCAAUAAAGGCCUGCUCACAACUCUCCUCAGCUCCACAGACUCAGUUGCUCAAGAGAUAAAGCUGUGUCUUUAUCCAAGAGAUCUGAGUUCAAAACCCACUAUUGCAAAUUUAAAUCAAUCUCAUUCAAUAAAGUCAUUCAAACGCCAAAACACAAUGUGAAGUCCAUGACGGGUUAGUGGGUAAACACACGUUUUCUGAUGAUGUUCCUGUGAUGAAGACAUGGGUUCAAAUCCUAUCUCAUUAUAUCACAUACACAGCUUUCUUUAACGUCUUUAUUGGGAACACACAGGUCAACAGUCAAAUAUAAGUUACUUCACACACUCCAACAAGAGACCUGUGGCUCACAGGUAAGAGCGCUGCCUCACGGGUUCAGAGGUUGCUGGUUCAAUCCCAGCCAGGUCUCUGCGAUAUGAGUGAAUGCUGGAGUGUGUGUGAAGGUGUGCCUGAAGAAGGGGGAUACCAGUACGGUCUCCCCCUGGAGCUUCUGGCACUGUGACCAGCAGCGGUUAUGAUUUUGUCCAGACUGGAAAAAAUAAAAUAAAGCUGAAUAAAAAUUAUCAACCCGUCCCUUCCCCAACUACUGAGGUUACCAUAAUUCACUUUUCAAAGGAGAAACCCCUCAGAAAGAAAAUGAUGGUAACCUAGAUGUUUAGUGCACUAGAACACAGAUUCACACAGUAGAUACAUCACCUGUUCAUGAGCAGAUGUCCAUCAUUACAGUCACUGUCUGUCCACACGUCCAG